Non-coding RNA from Podarcis lilfordi (Lilford's wall lizard), 74 nucleotides. The record is from the annotation of a GenBank genome assembly. Lineage: Eukaryota; Metazoa; Chordata; Lepidosauria; Squamata; Lacertidae.
GCAUUGAUUAGCUCAGUCAGCAGAGCAUUAAACUAUUAAUCUCAGGGUCGUAGGUUUGAGCCCCACAUUGGGCA